RNAcentral lists this ribosomal RNA (580 nucleotides) under uncultured rumen bacterium. RNAcentral describes it as "bacterial SSU rRNA". It matches the Rfam family "Bacterial small subunit ribosomal RNA", at positions 192 to 751 of the family's 1533-position model. The record is from RNAcentral.
GAGGGGAUAUGAAAGAUGGCCUCUACUUGUAAGCUAUCACCCAGGGAUGGGCCUGCGUCUGAUUAGCCAGUUGGCGGGGUAACGGCCUACCAAAGCGACGAUCAGUAGCCGGUCUGAGAGGAUGAACGGCCACAUUGGGACUGAGACACGGCCCAGACUCCUACGGGAGGCAGCAGUGGGGAAUCUUCCGCAAUGGGCGCAAGCCUGACGGAGCAACGCCGCGUGAGUGAAGAAGGUCUUCGGAUCGUAAAGCUCUGUUGUUGGGGACGAACGUGCUUUUUGCGAAUAGUGGAAAGCAAUGACGGUACCCGACGAGGAAGCCACGGCUAACUACGUGCCAGCAGCCGCGGUAAUACGUAGGUGGCGAGCGUUGUCCGGAAUCAUUGGGCGUAAAGGGAGCGCAGGCGGGGAGGCAAGUCGGUCUUAAAAGUGCGGGGCUCAACCCCGUGAGGGGAUCGAAACUGCUUCUCUUGAGUACCGGAGAGGAAAGCGGAAUUCCCAGUGUAGCGGUGAAAUGCGUAGAUAUUGGGAGGAACACCAGUGGCGAAGGCGGCUUUCUGGACGGCAACUGACGCUGAGG